Molecule: ribosomal RNA, 439 nt
Filed under: uncultured bacterium
Lineage: Bacteria
Description: partial 16S ribosomal RNA
Rfam family: Bacterial small subunit ribosomal RNA
Source: RNAcentral
CUACGGGACGCAGCAGUGAGGAAUAUUGCACAAUGGGGGAAACCCUGAUGCAGCAACGCCGCGUGGAGGAUGACGCAUUUCGGUGUGUAAACUCCUUUUAUCAGAGAAGAAAAUGACGGUAUCUGAUGAAUAAGCUCCGGCUAACUCCGUGCCAGCAGCCGCGGUAAUACGGAGGGAGCAAGCGUUAUUCGGAAUCACUGGGCGUAAAGGACGCGUAGGCGGGUUUGUAAGUCAGGUGUGAAAUACUAUGGCUCAACCAUAGAACUGCACUUGAAACUGGGGACCUAGAGUAUGGAAGGGGCAGGUGGAAUUAGUGGUGUAGGGGUAAAAUCCGUAGAUAUCACUGGGAAUACCGAAAGCGAAGGCGACCUGCUGGGACAUUACUGACGCUGAGGCGUGAAAGCGUGGGGAGCAAACAGGAUUAGAUACCCGCGUAGUC